UCCCGUAGCCUCCCGUAGCACGGGGGGCCUACGGGAGGCAGCAGUGAGGAAUAUUGGUCAAUGGACGCAAGUCUGAACCAGCCAUGCCGCGUGUAAGGAUGAAGGCCUUCUGGGUUGUAAACUUCUUUUAUCUGGGAAGAAAAGCAUUGUUUCUACGAUGUCCGACGGUACCAGAGG
RNAcentral lists this ribosomal RNA (177 nucleotides) under uncultured bacterium. RNAcentral describes it as "partial 16S ribosomal RNA". It matches the Rfam family "Bacterial small subunit ribosomal RNA", at positions 306 to 484 of the family's 1533-position model. The record is from RNAcentral.